Molecule: non-coding RNA, 24 nt
Filed under: Mus musculus (house mouse)
Lineage: Eukaryota; Metazoa; Chordata; Mammalia; Rodentia; Muridae
Also listed under: 1 other name
Source: RNAcentral
UUGAUUGUGGUGAUGAUUAUAUGU